This is a non-coding RNA of Triticum aestivum (bread wheat), 115 nucleotides long. Lineage: Eukaryota; Viridiplantae; Streptophyta; Magnoliopsida; Poales; Poaceae. The record is from Rfam.
CUAGUACUCCCUCUGUCCGAAAAAGCUUGUCCCUCAGAUAGAUGUAUCUAGUACUAACUUGGUGCUAGAUACAUCCAUUUGAGGGACAGGCUUUUUCGGACGGAGAUAGUAUUUG